Molecule: non-coding RNA, 1653 nt
Organism: Zootermopsis nevadensis
Lineage: Eukaryota; Metazoa; Arthropoda; Insecta; Blattodea; Termopsidae
Source: RefSeq, a predicted model, not a curated record
GCACUUCUAUCUCAUGAACAGUUAUAUGCACAUAUGUAGAAAUUAAUGUAAAAGCCAUGUUUCUUCAUAUAAGGCAGUGAAAGAUUUGGGUAUUUUAUACUGGUGUGAAUUUCAGUAUCUUAUUUUGUACAAUUCUGUAUACAAUGGUAGCUACACGUAAACAAGUAGGUGUUACGCUAUAUCUAACUUUAAAACUUUUAAUGCCUAAUUUGAAGUAAUCUUAAAGGAUCUUCACUGCCUACUAAGUAAUGUAUUUGGACAUAUGUAUUGAUAAUGUUAUUUACAAAGAGACAUUGAUGUUUUACUUGUGCUUCCUUUCCUGAAUUUUAUUAUUCAUGUACCAAAAUGUUUAUCUGCAAAAAAAAGUCCCUUAAUAUAUGGGAGUGGGGGGACAUUUGGAGAAUAUUUUUAUAACAAUUUUGUAGGUAGCAUAUAUAUUAUAAUGGUAUUGAAGUGGAAAGUUAUCAUGUUUUACAUAAAAGUAGUAAUGUAACUUAUUUAACAUAUUAAACUUCAGUUUCUUACAGUAAUUUUUGACAGUGCAUGUUCGAAAGUGCCUCACAAUUAGGGGUUUCUUUGAACAGCAAGUGGGUACAUUUGACCAUGCACAAAAAAUAUUUCUGAACAGGAAUCAAAUUAAAUUAAUAUAUCAGAUGAUCUUAAGAUUUGUAGAUGAAUACUUUUUUCCAUUGAAGAAAAAAAGUCUAUGCCAGAAGACUUCAGUGACUGAGUACAAACUGUCCCACCAGAAACACUGGGCUUAGGCAGUUUCAGUAUAAUAUCUCUCUCUGUUUUACCAUCAUAAUCUUUUCCUGUACCAUUCAAACCUGCUCCACAUUCUUUCGUUAUAAAUAACCUUACAGAAGAUAAUAAAUUACAACAAAAUAAAUAAAACAAACAUUUGUUGCAGAGAAACAUACACUUCAGAUUGCAGAAUAGCAUAAACAAAUUUUUCCAAAUUCUUUUUAAUUGCAACAUGAAUCCCACAAAAUAAAAUUCACAGAUUUACUUUUCCCACCAUAAAACAAAAAGGUUCUUCAUUGCCUCCGAACUAUAGACUGGAUUGGAGGGAAACACCUGUUGACCAGGACUGUCACAAUCGAUAACUCAAAGAAAUUAUAACACCCUCAGUUGAUUGGCUCAAAAUUCAAACUUCAAAUGUACCCUCAUCUCCCCUACAUUUUUAACAAAUAGAUACCUAUUUUGUUAUAUGAAUUAUGUUUACUGGAAGAUAAAUUUUAUAUUGAGGUUUUUUUGGGGGGCUGAUAAUUUAUUUUUAGAAUUUAGGUUACUAAACCCUGGUUUUAUGUUUUAAGUGGUUUGUAUGUUAUGACCACUGAAGUCAAAACUCAUUUGUUUCAGUUGGUAAAAGUGACAUACAUUAGCUGACAUUCAUCUGUGAUUGACAAUGUCAUGUCAUUGCUUCAUUGAAUAUAAUCAGUUCAUACAAGGAUAAUUAGUUGCAGUUUCCACUGCAGCCAAGGACAGAACCAGCAGCCUUCUGUGUAUAUAUACCAGGUACUGUUCACAGAAAAGAGAAGUCAAUCUGUCAUGACUACACAGCAAACAAGAAGAGGAGUCAGAGUCAUUUACUGAAGGGCAGGAACCAAGUGACGCCAAGAUGAAGCUCGUAGUUAAAACGUUGACUGGCGG